This 468-nucleotide ribosomal RNA is filed under the name uncultured bacterium. RNAcentral describes it as "partial 16S ribosomal RNA". It matches the Rfam family "Bacterial small subunit ribosomal RNA", at positions 28 to 507 of the family's 1533-position model. The record is from RNAcentral.
GACGAACGCUGGCGGCGUGCUUAACACAUGCAAGUCGAACGGAAAGGCCCUGCUUUUGUGGGGUGCUCGAGUGGCGAACGGGUGAGUAACACGUGAGUAACCUGCCCUUGACUUUGGGAUAACUUCAGGAAACUGGGGCUAAUACCGGAUAGGAGCUCCUGCUGCAUGGUGGGGGUUGGAAAGUUUCGGCGGUUGGGGAUGGACUCGCGGCUUAUCAGCUUGUUGGUGGGGUAGUGGCUUACCAAGGCUUUGACGGGUAGCCGGCCUGAGAGGGUGCCCGGCCACCUUGGGCCUGCGAUACGGCCCAGAAUCCUACGGGAGGCAGCAGUGGGGAAUCUUGCACAAUGGCCCGAAGCCUGAUGCAGCAACGCCGCGUGCGUGAUGACGGCCUUCGGGUUGUAAACCGCUUUCGCCUGUGACGAAGCGUGAGUGACGGUAAUGGGUAAAGAAGCACCGGCUAACUACGUG